GAUGAACGCUGGCGGCGUGCCUAACACAUGCAAGUCGAACGUACAGAUCAGGACUUGGCUCGGCUGACGGUAGCGGCGGAGGGGAGAGUAACGUGGGUGUAACCUACCUCUAAUACGGGGAUGACUGCGGGAAAGCGUAUCUUAUACCGGAGGAUAUAUUGAACCUCGUUGUUCAGGAGUGAAAUUCGGUUGUGGUAUGAGUUAUAGACGUAUCAGCUCCUCAUUAGCUAGUUGGUACGGUAACGGCUUAACAAGGCAACGAGGCGUAGCCGACCUGAGCGGGGGGUCGGAGACAGUGGAAGAGAGACACGGUCCAGACUCCUACGGGGAGACGCAGCAGAGACUCUUCCGCAAUGGGCGAGAGCAUGAUGGAGCAACGCGGCGUGAGUUAUGACGGUGUUCGGAUGGUAAAACUCUGUUAUUAGGGGAGAUAAAAUGCGUAAGUAACUGUGCACGUUUUGACGGUACCUGAAGAAAAAGCACCGGCUAACUACGUG
This 497-nucleotide ribosomal RNA is filed under the name uncultured bacterium. RNAcentral describes it as "partial 16S ribosomal RNA". It matches the Rfam family "Bacterial small subunit ribosomal RNA", at positions 28 to 507 of the family's 1533-position model. The record is from RNAcentral.